This 27-nucleotide small RNA is filed under the name Bombyx mori (domestic silkworm). RNAcentral describes it as "piRNA piR-bmo-2103492". Lineage: Eukaryota; Metazoa; Arthropoda; Insecta; Lepidoptera; Bombycidae. The record is from RNAcentral.
UCCGUCUAAUGAGGCCGAAAAUCCGCC